RNAcentral lists this ribosomal RNA (253 nucleotides) under uncultured bacterium. Its description in RNAcentral is "partial 16S ribosomal RNA". It matches the Rfam family "Bacterial small subunit ribosomal RNA", at positions 524 to 776 of the family's 1533-position model. The record is from RNAcentral.
UACGGAGGGGGCUAGCGUUGUUCGGAAUUACCGGGCGUAAAGCGCACGUAGGCGGCUUUGUAAGUUAGAGGUGAAAGCCCGGGGCUCAACUCCGGAACUGCCUUUAAGACUGCAUCGCUUGAAUUGUGGAGAGGUAAGUGGAAUUCCGAGUGUAGAGGUGAAAUUCGUAGAUAUUCGGAAGAACACCAGUGGCGAAGGCGACUUACUGGACACAUAUUGACGCUGAGGUGCGAAAGCGUGGGGAGCAAACAGG